CUUGCUUUUUGUGUUUGCAUCGCUAACAAGCCUGGGGUGGCCUCUGGGUAUUAUCCACUAGCCUGACUGCAGCAGAGGCAAGGGCCCUGAACAGUGAGUCCUUGGCCAAAGCCAGCAGCAAAAGUAAAACCGGUCAGCUCAACUAGCUUGACCAAACGUAUCCUGCUGUGAUCUGCCCAGACUCUGCCCAUAGCAGCCUACAGAGGCCACAAAAGCCCUGAAAGCAGUGCCAUUACUUGUUUUGUAUGUCCAGCUUUCCCAUGUAUGCUGCCUUGCUUCUGUAGGCUAAAAGCAGUCGGCUUUCCAGGGUGUCCCAGGGGGACACAGAUGGAGGUCCCAGAACCCCCUCUUAUGAUGGGACCCGAGGCUGGGGUGAGCUCCCAGAAGAACAAAAACAAAAGCCCUAAGAAUGGGGCUUACUUACCUUCAACAGGAAAAGCUGCACCACACCAAGAAAAGCCGCUGACACGGUUCAUCAGCCGCUGUUAUUUGCAGCUGGGAGCAGCGCCAGCAGAUGACGACGUCAUCAAAAACCACUGCCCAAAGGAUUUAAAAGCCGGUGGUGGGGAAACAGCAGGGGUAACAGCUAAGCUUGGGACAGGAGACAAAGCUGCUUCCCGGGCUACUGGGUUGCAGAAGCAGCAGGGGACUGGAUGGGGACUCACCAGAGGGGUCCCAGCUCCCCUGAAGGAUAAAUGCCCAGCUUGGCAGGGCAGCUGGGCCAAGGAGGACGGCAUUGAGGGAUCCCAAUGACCACAGAUGCUGGAGCUGUGAGUGGAGCAGGCUGAAGCCCGAACUCCUGCUGUUCCUUUUCUUUUCUUUGUUUUUCUGUUUUCUGUUAGUACCCUGAAGGGCACCAGAGCUGAACCAGGGAAGGCAUCCCCAAUUGACCCACAGAGUCAAGAAGAGGUGUGGAGGCAGCCCCAUCUAACGUGAUGUCCCAAAGAUAAGGCUCAAGCAGACAUUGGGACAAGACCGGUCCCACACCCGUAGACAUCUGGGGCAAAGAAAAACACUGAGGGUCGGGCAAAAGGGGGCAAAAGCAGGAGCUAACAUCAAAGAGACAAGCUGGCGAUCCAUCACCUGGUCUUCCUGAAGGCUGGCAUAUGGCUGGGGUGUAGGGGAGGUGGUGCCCCAAGAACACCCGCAAGGGGCAGCGCCUGGUCCACGAGUUGCUGCAAGGGAGAGUCCCACUAUUGAAAGGAAGAUCAAGUCAUGGCAGGCCUGCUCCAUGUGUACAGAAGUGACAGCUCUGUGCAAGGGUCUGGGCUGUUAUGCUGGAGAUGGGACUGGCCGUUCUGACCUCAGCAGCCGUGAACCUAUAUGCAUCCAGUGCUUGCAGCUUACAGCGAUCUUGAACUUCCUUGUGCACUGCCAUGCGUACAGGGUGGAGCGAACUGCAGGAGCAGGUGGGCAGAGCUGUCUCAGCAAGAGGAAGAGAGGGACGGACGUGCCCGUGCGAGUGCUGAGUUCUGCAGCCUGGGCCAGCGGCGGGUUUGCGGCACAGGGCUGUCUUCUUGUCAGGGACGCUGUCACAGUCAGGCCUCCUGCAUCCUCACAGCAGCUCCACUGCCAGCCCUGUCCCUGCAUGUGGCAGCCACGUGUUCUCCUGUAAAACUGUGCCACAAGGUACUCUGUGCGUGCAGACCAGCUCUGCCCUGGAGCACUGGCCUGUGCUCCCAAGCCUGGCCUGCACCUGAUAAUGCUCCUGGGCACGUGCUUCCAGAGUCAGGGCCCACGUGGCUCGUGAGCUCUGCCUCAUCCUGCUCCUGCUCUGCCUAGCGAUGUGUCCCGUGCCUCUUGCAGGUACCAAGGAGCCCCAGCUGGCUGCACCCAUGCAGAGACCCAGAGGAGAGGGGAGACAUCAGGUCCUUUGGGCAGCGCUGCAGAGGCCACAGUAACAGCUGGGCUGCCCCUGGAAGGAGCGGUCAACUGGUCUUGAAACUGUCAGCCACAUGGGCACAUGAGCUAGCUCAAUAUGGAGUAUCACAGAUGCCCUGUGAGCCCAUCACACCAGGACGUGACAGUCAGUUGUGGGGACGACGGAGCCCAGGGGCUGCAGAGAAGCAGCAAGAGACCAAACUGACUGUGUACAGGGCUCUGGUUUAGGGGUUAAGUCCCUGGCUUAGAGCCAUUGAUCCUCCUGCCCCAGUGUCCCAGAGCCAUGGAGACCUCCAGGUGAGCCCCUGCAUGGUGGGGCUGGAGCCUUUGCACCGGGGGCCGCUCUCCCCAGCCACAGCAGAGGCGCUGCCCCAGCCACAUCUGAGCCACUGGGGGUGGCUGGGACACACGCAUGCCUGUCACCCCAUCCUUUCCCACCCCUCAGCAACAGCUGCCAAAGACACCCCCAGGGGCGCAGGGAGGCCAGUGGGGAUCUGCUGGGGUCAGCUCAGCACGAGGCUCUCUCGGAGGGGAAGUGAGUGGGCUUUCUUUGUGCUCCCUCCACCUCUCGACAGAGCCCGUGCAAGGGUGGAGCUGGCCGGGCUCCUGAGCUAUGAGGCUUUGUGCCAACGUCCCACCGAGGGGGUGGAGUGCUUCCCCUCUGGGUGUUUCGUUCAGGCUCCCUGCAGAGCCGGGUAGCGUCGUUCUGCAGCUCUUCUGCAAGGCGAGGAGUUCAGCUGCACUGCCUUGCUCGCACCCAGGGCAGUGAUUCCCGGUGAAGGCCCAGGCUCCCUGCUGGCCCAAGCACAGUCGCUGCAUCUAUUGCACUCGGGGCACUCUUUCAGUCGCACGCACUCACAUUUUUCAGCUAUUUUCCCCAAACCCCAUGGCUAGAAGUUGUCUUUAAAAAAUAGUGGGUGGUGAGAGCAUGUCCUUGACCUCCUGUGCCCUCCCAGCCUGGCCCCAUGGGGCCUGUGCUCCAGCAUGGAGCUGCCCAGUGUGCCCGCUCUGGGAGCACUGGGCAUGAAUUCACGCUCCCUCUCAUGGUUCGGUUAUUUUAUUCUUCCCCUUUUCUCUGAAGGGUUGUAACAUCCCAGGGAUGUUGCAACAGGGUGUCGAGGCAGCAGUGGCUCACAGCAGGCUCAGGGCCCCCGCACCCGUUCCUCUCUGGCAGGCAGCUUUGGGGGAACUGAGGGCCUCGGUCUGAAAGGCCGGAGAGCUGGAGUCCACUACUUAGAGCAGCUUGGGUGAGGAGACAGGCUUAGGCACAGCAUUUCCUGGGUGUAGCCUCGCUGGAGCGUUCAGCAACGUAUGCUGCUCACACAAAGGCUUUGCCAAAGCAUUGGCCAGAGCAGGUCUCACCAGCAAACCUGACCGAUGCAUGAACACGUCACUUAAACAAUACUUGGCAGGCUCACAUGCCAAGACAUGGGAGGGGAAGAUGAUGGUACAAGGUAGGAUUAUCCAGUACCAGGGUAAUAAGGCUGGAGCGGGAACACCCAGGUCAGACGGUGCAAACAAGCCCACGGCACAGGACGGCACAAGACGCUCUAGAUACAGAGGGAACACAGCACGUCAUUUGUUUUCAUCGGUGCAUAAUAGGAGAAUUGGAAAGCCGGGAAAUGUUGUAGCAGCUUGGAGGAGCCUGCGUGGUGGUUUGCUGACACACAAGUCCAGAUGUCUUAGCUCUUGGUCUGAUGCACUUGUUCGGCCAAAAGGUGUUAGGGCCGUGCUUGUAGACAAUAAACCCAGCGAAUCUUUGCCACCGAACCGAGCCUGUGGUCAUUCUUUAAGACACGAUGAGUGUUGGGAUCCUUUGGCUCUGAUUUUUUGGCACUGCAGUUCCUGAGACUUCAACGCAGUAACACCUGAUGAGGGCAACAGCAAGGACGACAGUGAUAACCCCAGACUACACUGGUGACCCCGACCGCUGAUUCGGUGGCUGGCUCAUCCUCAUUUCGCCAUACCUGUGAUAGCUCCCUUGCUGGGAAGCUCACUGUGUCCCAGGACCUGGAUCU
Alligator mississippiensis (American alligator) is the source of this 3899-nucleotide long non-coding RNA. RefSeq lists it as uncharacterized. The transcript has 3 exons. NCBI's taxonomy places the organism in Eukaryota, Metazoa, Chordata, Crocodylia, Alligatoridae. The record is from RefSeq and is a predicted model, not a curated record.